This 505-nucleotide ribosomal RNA is filed under the name uncultured bacterium. RNAcentral's name for it is "bacterial SSU rRNA". It matches the Rfam family "Bacterial small subunit ribosomal RNA", at positions 74 to 564 of the family's 1533-position model. The record is from RNAcentral.
UUUAGCUUGCUAGAGUAGAAGGAGUUGCGAACGGGUGAGUAACGCGUAGGUAACCUGCCUACUAGCGGGGGAUAACUAUUGGAAACGAUAGCUAAUACCGCAUAACAGUGUUUAACACAUGUUAGAUGCUUGAAAGAUGCAAUCGCAUCACUAGUAGAUGGACCUGCGUUGUAUUAGCUAGUUGGUGGGGUAACGGCCCACCAAGGCGACGAUACAUAGCCGACCUGAGAGGGUGAUCGGCCACACUGGGACUGAGACACGGCCCAGACUCCUACGGGAGGCAGCAGUAGGGAAUCUUCGGCAAUGGGGGCAACCCUGACCGAGCAACGCCGCGUGAGUGAAGAAGGUUUUCGGAUCGUAAAGCUCUGUUGUAAGAGAAGAACGUGUGUGAGAGUGGAAAGUUCACACAGUGACGGUGACUUACCAGAAAGGGACGGCUAACUACGUGCCAGCAGCCGCGGUAAUACGUAGGUCCCGAGCGUUGUCCGGAUUUAUUGGGCGUAAA